Molecule: ribosomal RNA, 453 nt
Filed under: uncultured bacterium
Lineage: Bacteria
Description: bacterial SSU rRNA
Rfam family: Bacterial small subunit ribosomal RNA
Source: RNAcentral
AUUGAACGCUGGCGGCAUGCCUUACACAUGCAAGUCGAACGGUAGAGUAGCAAUACUUGAGAGUGGCGAACGGGUGAGUAAUAUAUCGGAACGUGCCCAGUCGUGGGGGAUAACGUAGUGAAAAUUACGCUAAUACCGCAUACGAUCUACGGAUGAAAGCGGGGGAUCGCAAGACCUCGCGCGAUUGGAGCGGCCGAUAUCAGAUUAGGUAGUUGGUGAGGUAAAGGCUCACCAAGCCAACGAUCUGUAGCUGGUCUGAGAGGACGACCAGCCACACUGGAACUGAGACACGGUCCAGACUCCUACGGGAGGCAGCAGUGGGGAAUAUUGGACAAUGGGCGAAAGCCUGAUCCAGCAAUGCCGCGUGAGUGAUGAAGGCCUUAGGGUUGUAAAGCUCUUUUACCAGGGAUGAUAAUGACAGUACCUGGAGAAUAAGCUCCGGCUAACUCCGUG